Molecule: long non-coding RNA, 1469 nt
Organism: Oncorhynchus tshawytscha (Chinook salmon)
Lineage: Eukaryota; Metazoa; Chordata; Actinopteri; Salmoniformes; Salmonidae
Source: Ensembl
UUGUAUACCAAAUAUUCUUUAUUUUCCAAAGGUAUCAAACUACAGACAAACAGGUCUUUGUUCUGACAUUACACUGAAUGCGAGCUGUUAUUUCACCACAACCCCAUCCCCCUCAGGGCCCUGAACAUAGAUCAUGGAACCUCCAUGUUUGCUGGAAGUCUUAGCUUGAAACUCAAGAGUAUAUAUAGUACACCAUGUGAUGUGCACUGUUACAAAGAUACUCAUUUGAAGAAAUGCAUCAUUGUUAAAUGCAUUUGUGUUGAGAAAAUAAUUGACACAAUACUGUUACAAUACACAAUACAGUUUGAAAAUUCUAUGACGCUAUGAAGAAGCCAACAUUCAAAAUGACUUAGAAAAAGACAACUGUCCAAAGGUAUGUGCACCACUGUCCACUAACACUUACCGCAUACACACAUCACAUUCAAAGGCCCAUCCUAUUUAAAGCAUUUAUGUCACAUUUCAAUUUCACCCAUGUCCCUGUAUUUUCCUUUUCAAGAAAUAACUAGUAUUUCAUAACGAGUAGAUAAAUUGCUGUACGUUAUUAUUUAUGUAUAUUCAUGGUGUAUGUGAUGAUAAACAUUUAACUGACUGCUGAUGCAACAUGGUCUACUAAGUGAUCCAAUGAAACAUUAACUUCUCCAUUCUCUCUGUCUUCAAUCAUAAUUCACUUUCAGAGGUCCAUCACACAUCCACAGGUGACACAUCCAGGUCAUCUAAGGAGGUUAACAUGAUCAUGCAGGUAACUAUCGUUUACUCCAAGGUUUAGUUUGGCAUUCUACUGGAAGAGCUAUUACAAGGCUUGAAACACAAUAUCACUGAAAGAAGUGACGGUUAAUAUUUCGAAAUUCAAAUAAUGUCAUAUCUAUGGGCCUACCUAAAUCAGAACACGGUAUUUACAGAGACAGACAGUGGUAUGGAAUAUAGGUAUUGACAACCUUUUUUCAACCAGUUCCAAGAUGAUGGUGCUGUUAAGCUUGCUCAGGAUAGUAAACACGCUCUUUCCAGGGUAUUGGUUGCAGAAAGAUACUAAAUGACUUGAUUGGCUCAUAGUCAUUAAUAACAGAUAGCAGAGUAUGGAAGUUAAGAUCAGUUAACAUUGACUCAGCUGCAGUCAGCCCUCUAUUAUCUCUGUAUUAUUUUGGCCUAGUCGUCUGGGGAUGUUUCUGCCUGUGGUGUUUUAUCUAAGGAAAUCUGAAUACCCAGGUUUGUAUUAUUUUGCUGACAUCACCCUAUUCUCUCCAAAUUGUCUGAACUUCCGGGAAUCUGGUAACCAGGAGUGUCUAAUAGUUUGAUCCAUGACCUAUUUUCCUAUUUAACCCUUCACUUCUAUCAGGAUUCCAAUGCACACAUAACCAAACAAAAAUAGCAUUACAUAGGCCAUUAGGCCCAUUCAAUCAGAUAUAUAUUUUUGCUAUCAUGAUUUAAAUCAAACAUGAUACCACAACAGACAUUGUAAAACCCCAGAGUAA